AUUGAACGCUGGCGGCGGGCCUAACACAUGCAAGUCGAGCGAAUAAGGGAGGCUUUUCCUGGGUUCACGGGCGGGCCGGGGGGGUAUGCCCCAGGAUCUUCCCGGUCGUGGGGGAUUACGUUCGGAAACGGGCGCCUAUUCCGCCAACGUACCGAGGGGGAAAGCGGGGGGUUCUUUGGACCCACGCGUUUAGGUUGGCCCUGGGCGGGAUUAGCUAGUUGGUGGGGUAAGGGCCUACCAAGGCGACGAUCCGUAACUGGUCUGAGAGGAUGAUCAGUCACACUGGAACUGAGACACGGUCCAGACUCCUACGGGAGGCAGCAGUGGGGAAUAUUGGACAAUGGGCGAAAGCCUGAUCCAGCCAUGCCGCGUGUGUGAAGAAGGUCUUCGGAUUGUAAAGCACUUUAAGUUGGGAGGAAGGGCAGUAAGUUAAUACCUUGCUGUUUUGACGUUACCAACAGAAUAAGCACCGGCUAACUUCGUG
This 484-nucleotide ribosomal RNA is filed under the name uncultured bacterium. RNAcentral describes it as "partial 16S ribosomal RNA". It matches the Rfam family "Bacterial small subunit ribosomal RNA", at positions 30 to 507 of the family's 1533-position model. The record is from RNAcentral.